UCCCUUCUAGCUCAGUUGGUAAAGAAUCUGCCUGCAAUGCAGGACACCUGGGUUCGAUUCAUGGGUUGGGAA
RNAcentral lists this transfer RNA (72 nucleotides) under Ovis aries (sheep). It matches the Rfam family "tRNA". From Rfam's summary of the family: Transfer RNA (tRNA) molecules are approximately 80 nucleotides in length. Their secondary structure includes four short double-helical elements and three loops (D, anti-codon, and T loops). The record is from Rfam by way of RNAcentral. Lineage: Eukaryota; Metazoa; Chordata; Mammalia; Artiodactyla; Bovidae.